AAUCUCUAAAAGCUUGAAUUCUAUUGCUACGUUAAUAGUUUGUUUUCAAUACUCCCUCUCCCCCCUCUCUUUCUCUCUCUCUCUCUCUCUCUCUCUCUCUCUCCAAUUGAAUGUCCCUUUGGUUGCAUGUGGUUUAGAGCUUAGAAGUGAUAUUAACAAGGAAAAACUUUAAAAAGCUCCCCUAUGGUUUCAUACUUUUUCACUUUAGUAUCCUGUGGUUUAAAGUCUAUCAAUUUAACCCCCUGUGGUCUCAUUUUUAUUUUUUCGGUAUCUUUUUCGUUAAUAUUUCGUUAAAUUAUAUACAAAAAACUUCAGAUAUCCAUCUAGAUUUAUCGAAUAUUCACUUUAGUACCCUUCAAUCUUAAUUUUGUCACUGAUUUAAGAAAAAAAAUAAUGAAAUUCAUAAUAAAAAGAGAAAAACGAAAUCACAGUGGGGCAAAUUGAUACACUUUAAACCACAGAGUACUAAAGUGAGAAAAUGCGAAACCACAGGGGGUUUUUUUUAAGUUUUCCCUAUUAACAAAGUUACUUUUAUUAGGAGCAUUUCAGAUUUAUGACAUAUGAUCAAAUUCGAUUACUAAUCAUACCAAUAAAUUUAUUUGUUAAUAGCGAAAUCAGAUUGCCUUACAUAUUAGGCAAAUCAACAGUGCUUUAAUAGCAUAGGUGAGAGUGAUCUCUUGUGCAUGUCAACAUUUGUCGUUGAUUGGAUCUUUUUUUUAUCAUUAAUUGGACUUUUAAGCAGUUUUUGGAGAAUUUUUUCUUGAAUAAUAUCUCAUUACGAUAAUUACUUACUUGCAUGAAUUUAUAGUUUUGAGUAUUGCAUGAAAUAUACUAAUUAAACCUAUAAAAAUAAACGAUGCCGUAAAGUCAGAAUGCCAUUGACCGGCUCAAAUCAAAUAAAUUUAAAAGUUGGGUGGUAAAUGAAAAUUUUCAAAAAUCGAAUAGUCGAAUAAAAAAGUUCAUAGUUCAAGUAAGUUUUGUACACUUUUAUAAUUUAGAAAAAUUAUCAAACCUCACUACAACAGAAUUAGGUUAUAGGGACACAUGUUUGGGACACUUUUGAGUAAGUGUCUCAUUUAUACUAAAACUUAAAAAACAUCUACUAAUACCUAAAUAUAAAGCCCAAUCCAACCAAAAAUAAAAGAUUACUCUACUCAACCCACCACACCCAGUUCAUUUGGCCCGAUUACAAAUAGAAAAGAAUAAAAAAAAAAAUCAAUUACCAUCUUUUCUUCUCUCUUCACUCAAUUCACUGAAAUUCUAGACGAAGAGCCUUUCCUGUCGUCCUCCUCCGCCACCGCAGCCAACGAGAUAGAGUUUUGGCGGUUGCUAAAUGCUUAAAUAAGUGUUGGUAAAUUAGCAGCACUCUUUUAGGUUAUAGCGACACUCUUUAACUGUCACUAUAUACCUAGCGACCCCACAUAUAGCAACACUUUUCAAAAGUGUCGGUAAUUUUAGCUAGCAGCACUUUUUUGACAUGUACCUAUAUUUAAAAGUGUCGCUAUAGACCGUUUUUGUUGUAGUGUCUACUUAUAUAAUAUUGUUAUUCCACACAAAAUAU
Molecule: long non-coding RNA, 1561 nt
Filed under: Ananas comosus (pineapple)
Lineage: Eukaryota; Viridiplantae; Streptophyta; Magnoliopsida; Poales; Bromeliaceae
Description: long non-coding RNA (ACOM_LNC022968)
Source: RNAcentral